UACGUAGGGUGCGAGCGUUAAUCGGAAUUACUGUGCGUAAAGCGUGCGCAGGCGGUUCUCCAAGUCCGUUUUUAAAGCCCCGGGCUCAACCUGGGAAUGGCAGUGGAAACUAGGGGACUGGAAUCUGGCAGAGGGGGGUGGAAUUCCGCGUGUAGCAGUGAAAUGCGUAGAGAUGCGGCGGAACACCGAUGGCGAAGGCAGCCCCCUGGGCUGAGAUUGACGCUCAGGCACGAAAGCGUGGGGAGCAAACAGG
Molecule: ribosomal RNA, 253 nt
Filed under: uncultured bacterium
Lineage: Bacteria
Description: partial 16S ribosomal RNA
Rfam family: Bacterial small subunit ribosomal RNA
Source: RNAcentral